Molecule: ribosomal RNA, 253 nt
Filed under: uncultured bacterium
Lineage: Bacteria
Description: partial 16S ribosomal RNA
Rfam family: Bacterial small subunit ribosomal RNA
Source: RNAcentral
UACGGAGGGUGCGAGCGUUAUCCGGAAUUACUGGGUUUAAAGGGUGCGUAGGCGGCUAUGUAAGUCAGGAGUGAAAGUUUGCGGCUCAACCGUAAAAUUGCUUUUGAUACUGCAUAGCUAGAAUUAGGAUGAGGUCAGCGGAAUGUGGCAUGUAGCGGUGAAAUGCAUAGAUAUGCCAUAGAACACCAAUUGCGAAGGCAGCUGGCUAGACCUGGAUUGACGCUGAGGCACGAAAGCGUGGGGAGCGAACAGG